GGGCCUGUAGCUCAGUUGGUCAGAGCCGCCGACUCAUAAUCGGUAGGUCGCGGGUUCGAGUCCCGCCAGGCCCACCU
This 77-nucleotide transfer RNA is filed under the name Bacteroidetes bacterium QS_8_68_28. Its description in RNAcentral is "tRNA-Met". It matches the Rfam family "tRNA". From Rfam's summary of the family: Transfer RNA (tRNA) molecules are approximately 80 nucleotides in length. Their secondary structure includes four short double-helical elements and three loops (D, anti-codon, and T loops). Further hydrogen bonds mediate the characteristic L-shaped molecular structure. tRNAs have two regions of fundamental functional importance: the anti-codon, which is responsible for specific mRNA codon recognition, and the 3' end, to which the tRNAs corresponding amino acid is attached (by aminoacyl-tRNA synthetases). tRNAs cope with the degeneracy of the genetic code in two manners: having more than one tRNA (with a specific anti-codon) for a particular amino acid; and 'wobble' base-pairing, i.e. permitting non-standard base-pairing at the 3rd anti-codon position. Lineage: Bacteria; Pseudomonadati; Bacteroidota. The record is from RNAcentral.